RNAcentral lists this ribosomal RNA (499 nucleotides) under uncultured bacterium. RNAcentral describes it as "partial 16S ribosomal RNA". It matches the Rfam family "Bacterial small subunit ribosomal RNA", at positions 28 to 507 of the family's 1533-position model. The record is from RNAcentral.
GACGAACGCUGGCGGCGUGCUUAACACAUGCAAGUCGAACGGGCCUGUCUUCUUUUUUGGGGGUGGGUUGAGUGGCGAACGGGUGAGUAUCACGUGAGUAACCUGCCCUUCGGUCCUGGAUAACCGCUUGAAAGGGCGGCUAAUACGGGGUGGUCCGGUUGGUCCGCAUGGGCUGGUCGGGAUAGAUUCACUGUUUUUGGUGUUUCGGCGGGGGAUGGGCUCGCGGCCUAUCCGCUUGUUGGUGGGGCUAUGGCCUCCCAAGGCGUUGACGGGUAGCCGGCCUGAGAGGGUGGGCGGCCACAGUGGGACGGAGAUACGGCCCAGACUCCUGCGGGAGGCAGCCGUGGGGGGUAUUGCACAAUGGGCGGAAGCCUGAUGCAGCGACGUCGCGUGAGGGAUGGAGGCCUUCGGGUUGUGAACCUCUGUUUCCGGUGGUGAAGGCCCUGUCCGUGUGGUGGGGUUGACGGUAGCCGGGGAUGAAGCGCCGGCUAACUACGUG